UACGUAGGGGGCGAGCGUUGUCCGGAUUUAUUGGGCGUAAAGCGCACGCAGGCGGAGCGGUAAGAGUGGGGUGACAGGUGUCGGCUUAACCGAGACAGUGUCCCACAGACUGCCGCCCUUGAGGGCCACAGAGGAACACAGAAUUCCGGGUGGAGUGGUGAAAUGCGUAGAUAUCCGGAGGAAUACCAAAGGCGAAGGCAGUGUUCUGGGUGGCACCUGAC
RNAcentral lists this ribosomal RNA (221 nucleotides) under uncultured prokaryote. RNAcentral's name for it is "partial 16S ribosomal RNA". It matches the Rfam family "Bacterial small subunit ribosomal RNA", at positions 524 to 744 of the family's 1533-position model. The record is from RNAcentral.